Molecule: ribosomal RNA, 463 nt
Filed under: uncultured Klebsiella sp.
Lineage: Bacteria; Pseudomonadati; Pseudomonadota; Gammaproteobacteria; Enterobacterales; Enterobacteriaceae
Description: bacterial SSU rRNA
Rfam family: Bacterial small subunit ribosomal RNA
Source: RNAcentral
CUACGGGCGGCAGCAGUGGGGAAUAUUGCACAAUGGGCGCAAGCCUGAUGCAGCCAUGCCACGUGUGUGAAGAAGGCCUUCGGGUUGUAAAGCACUUUCAGCGGGGAGGAAGGCGGUGAGGUUAAUAACCUCAUCGAUUGACGUUACCCGCAGAAGAAGCACCGGCUAACUCCGUGCCAGCAGCCGCGGUAAUACGGAGGGUGCAAGCGUUAAUCGGAAUUACUGGGCGUAAAGCGCACGCAGGCGGUCUGUCAAGUCGGAUGUGAAAUCCCCGGGCUCAACCUGGGAACUGCAUUCGAAACUGGCAGGCUAGAGUCUUGUAGAGGGGGGUAGAAUUCCAGGUGUAGCGGUGAAAUGCGUAGAGAUCUGGAGGAAUACCGGUGGCGAAGGCGGCCCCCUGGACAAAGACUGACGCUCAGGUGCGAAAGCGUGGGGAGCAAACAGGAUAGAUACCCGGGUAGUC